RNAcentral lists this small RNA (184 nucleotides) under bacterium. Its description in RNAcentral is "6S RNA". The record is from RNAcentral.
GUUUCCCUGCCUGGUGCGUGACAAGUGCGGUUUUCUUUUUGCCAGUGUUAAAUCAAAUGGAAUCCCUUCCUGGCCACGGCAUUUACGCCCCCAAGUCGGGGAUUAGUAAAGUGGACAUAGGGAUCCACCCUUGAGAGAGGGCCAAACAAGAGAACCGCCGCAACGGCCUUAUGGCGGGGAGGUU